AAAAAAUUAACCAAAAAAAAAAAACUCUUUGGCCUUCUGCUGCUUCUUUUGAACCGCUUUUGGAGCAAAGUAGCCAAGUUAGUUCAGAGUCAUAGUAUUCAUUCAAUGAUCAGCUAAUUCUGAUUCAAAAAGGAUUCUUUUUUUAUUUACCCAUCUGAAGCUUUGGAAAGUCCGCUUGGUCAAGAGUAUGUCCUGUUAUAAAUAGUUUGUAUGUUAAAUAGUAUAGAGAGAAAGAAUUCCUAU
This 243-nucleotide unclassified non-coding RNA is filed under the name Hevea brasiliensis (rubber tree). Lineage: Eukaryota; Viridiplantae; Streptophyta; Magnoliopsida; Malpighiales; Euphorbiaceae. The record is from RNAcentral.